CCUACGGGUGGCUGCAGUGGGGGAUAUUGCACAAUGGGGGAAACCCUGAUGCAGCGACGCCGCGUGGGCGAAGAAGUAUUUCGGUAUGUAAAGCCCUAUCAGCAGGGAAGAAGAACUGACGUUACCUGAGUAAGCAGCCCCGGCUAACUACGUGCCAGCAGCCGCGGUAAUACGUAUGGUGAAAGCGUUAUCCGGCUUUACUGGGUGUAAAGGGCGCGCAGGCGGACCGGCAAGCCUGAUGUGAAAGCCCGCGGCCCAACCGCGGGACUGCAUUGGGAACUACCGGGCUGGAGUGCAGGAGAGGUAGGCGGAAUUCCUAGUGUAGCGGUGAAAUGCGUAGAUAUUAGGAGGAACACCAGUGGCGAAGGCGGCCUACUGGACGGUGACUGACGCUGAGGCUCGAAAGCGUGGGGAGCAAACAGGAUUAGAUACCCGUGUAGUC
This 442-nucleotide ribosomal RNA is filed under the name uncultured bacterium. Its description in RNAcentral is "partial 16S ribosomal RNA". It matches the Rfam family "Bacterial small subunit ribosomal RNA", at positions 338 to 795 of the family's 1533-position model. The record is from RNAcentral.